UACGGAGGGUGCGAGCGUUGUCCGGAAUCACUGGGCGUAAAGGGCGCGUAGGCGGCUUUUUAAGGGUGCGGUGAAAGCCCGGGGCUUAACCCCGGGUCGGCCGUGCCGACUGAAAAGCUGGAGCACUGUAGAGGCAGGUGGAAUUCCGGGUGUAGCGGUGGAGUGCGUAGAGAUCCGGAAGAACACCAGUGGCGAAGGCGGCCUGCUGGGCAGUUGCUGACGCUGAGGCGCGACAGCGUGGGAGCAAACAGG
Molecule: ribosomal RNA, 252 nt
Filed under: uncultured bacterium
Lineage: Bacteria
Description: partial 16S ribosomal RNA
Rfam family: Bacterial small subunit ribosomal RNA
Source: RNAcentral